Unclassified non-coding RNA from Cavia porcellus (domestic guinea pig), 303 nucleotides. Its record names the gene 7SK. It matches the Rfam family "7SK RNA". Rfam says of the family: 7SK was discovered as an abundant small nuclear RNA in the mid-70s but a possible function has only recently been suggested. Two independent studies have found that 7SK RNA binds the CDK9/cyclin T complex (known as elongation factor P-TEFb). P-TEFb activates transcription by phosphorylating the C-terminal domain of RNA polymerase II. NCBI's taxonomy places the organism in Eukaryota, Metazoa, Chordata, Mammalia, Rodentia, Caviidae. The record is from Ensembl.
GAACCUGUGAUUGACUUGAGAAUUAAUGCUUUUUUCUUUGGUACUGGUAAUGGAACCCUGGGCUGGCUAGGCAAGUGUUCCCUUCUUCCCUCACUGCUCUGUGUGUGUCCCUGCUGAAGCUGAAAAGCUAUGUACUCCGACAGAGAGGACCAUCAGCCCUGAGAGAGGAAAAAGUUUCUCUGGUCAAGAGUGUAUGAGUAGCUGUGCUCCUCUGCUAGAACCUCCAGACAAGCUCUCAGAUAGCUGGCAUUACAGAUGUGUGCCACCAUAGCUGAUGAGGACUGAAAAUUAAGUGUUGCCUUU